RNAcentral lists this long non-coding RNA (1729 nucleotides) under Pogonomyrmex barbatus (red harvester ant). RNAcentral describes it as "uncharacterized LOC105429402, transcript variant X2". Lineage: Eukaryota; Metazoa; Arthropoda; Insecta; Hymenoptera; Formicidae. The record is from RNAcentral.
UAAAAUAUUAAUGUCGAUCAAACAUUCACCGAUUGAGAGGGAAAAUCUGUAAAUAGUGUAAACAAGGAAAUUCGUGUGCAUUGCGCGACAAAAUCACGCGUCAAAUAGAACGUACCUCAAACAACAUACAUGGCACUAAUUUAAUCCCUCUAAUCGAUCCGAAUCGUGCGGAUGCCGCACGUGACCGAUUAUUUUCGAGAGAAAACGCGGUUGACGCGCUUUCCCUCGGAAACGCGCGCAGCAACAAUAUCGAAAACCAAUAAUCAACGACAAAUGUUGCUCGACGCUUAUCGGUCCCCUCGCCCUUGCACGGCCUACAUACGGUCCGAUCUUCCAGCGAUGUAGUUUACACUCGGCCUCGAUUAGAUUACACGGGGCAGAGCAACAGGCAGAUGUGGUAUUAAUCCCCGACGCAAUUUAUCGCGCUCGCGCCGCCUGAAAGAGUAAUUCGAUAUCGUCGUUGGCGAACAUCACGCUUACCCGCUCGCACCUUCGCAUUUCGCUCGUGCAAAUUCGCUAUUCGCGCUGGCGAUUUAUGGGAAGCUAAAUGAUCGGCGAUUAUAUCGCGCCGAUAAGAAACGUGAGAAAUAUGCGCACGAUGCUCUCUCGGUCGACAUUAACUUUCGAGGGAUAACAACUAUUACUUACUGUGAAACCGAUACCCACGGUGGCCGCGAAGUUUCCCGGUUGGAAUCUUCCAGUAUCGAAUUGGACCAAUAAUGAAGUCUUGCCGACUCCACUAUCACCGAGGAGGAUUGUCUAGCCACUAUCGUUAUUGAACAAUAGUAGUUUUGGCAGAAGAUUGAUGCGUGCGCUUCGAGGUUCCACGCCGCGCGCGCCGGAAUAUCAACGCCAUCGCUAACAGCAGGACAAAGAAUAAGGUUGCAAUAAGGUACAAGGAUACGAGAUCAAAUCGACUUCAUCUAUCUUUUAUCGGUGACGGAGAAUUUAUCGACGGUCAUAAAGUCGGUCACUUCUUGCAACGAUACGUUUCUCACAGCUACUACGGAACACCGUCGAUUAACGAUUUCAUGCAAUCAAUUGAGAUCAUUGUUUCUUCGCAUCUCAUCAAUCAUCAGCGAUUUAUGACUAUGCUUUUCGGAAUACGCAAAUACAUAAUUAUAUCUUUCUCGUGCCCAUUAUAAUAAAAAUUUCUCUACAUCGCAUCAUUAGAAUGCAAAGUCGAAAUUAAUUCAAUCAAAGAUUUUCCAUCUCUUUUGUAGUCUCACUUGUAAUAUAAUCAUUUAUAUCGCCAUAAAAAUUGGAUUAAUCCUUAACUCGCGAUUUCAUACGAAACACGGAUUAUACAUGGUAUAUAAUUAAAGUAAGUUAUAAUUGGCAUAAUCGUCAGCUAAUCCGCUUGAAACCUGUAGGGCUUUCCGGCGAGAGCACGCGGCUGUCUAUUAUUAAUAAUAUCUGCAAACCCUUCUUAAUCGAGUAUAUCUCGAAACGACUCAUAACCGCGACGGAAGUGUAAAGCUGGAUACGUGAUCGGUUACGGAGCCGUCAUAAAAGUGCGAUCGUAAAACCGACGUACCGUGAAGACAAGCCGUAAAGAUUUACGAACGAGAUGUUGCGGGAUUCGCAGACCGUCGCGAUCGCCGAUAGUACUCGGAUCCUGUCGAACGAGUCCUUCCUGCGCGGUAUUCGAGAGAAGGACGUCCCUUAACCGGACAUUUUGUCAUAAACGCACUCGCGCACUCUUCGUGGUAUCGCGUUAUUCAUUCGA